Non-coding RNA from Petromyzon marinus (sea lamprey), 77 nucleotides. NCBI's taxonomy places the organism in Eukaryota, Metazoa, Chordata, Hyperoartia, Petromyzontiformes, Petromyzontidae. The record is from Rfam.
UUACCCGCUUUGGCACUGGCACAUACUUGCUUCACUGUGAAACCCUGAGCAAUUAUGUGUAGUGCCGACUCGGGUAG